RNAcentral lists this long non-coding RNA (29908 nucleotides) under Trifolium pratense (red clover). Its description in RNAcentral is "long non-coding RNA (TPRA_LNC000645)". The record is from RNAcentral. Lineage: Eukaryota; Viridiplantae; Streptophyta; Magnoliopsida; Fabales; Fabaceae.
UCACAUUUUCUUCUUUCAUGUUCUGAAAUCUUCCAUUUUCUUACAUUUAACUCCGAACCAGAAUUUUUUCAUGACGGAACCACCGUGCCGGAACUCUUCUUCCGCCGUCAUCUUCUUCUCCUUCUGAUGUGAGUCUCCUAUUAAUUUUCUUUGUUCAAUUCAUGCUUCAAAACUAUAAAUUUUUGUUGAAAAUUUUAUAGUGUAAUUGUUAAAUCUGAAAAUUUGUUGUGUUGUUUGAAAUUAUCACCUUACUCAGUUUGUGUUACAAAAUCAAGAGACCAUUUGAAAAUUCUCCACUUCUGUUUUCUAUUUUUAAUCUAUGAAUCACAGAUACCGGAUAUGACACGGACACUUACAUGUCGAUGCCAAUAAUAUUUUAAGAAAAUGACAUAAUUUGACGUAAUUAUAUGUGCAGGUGUAGGACACCUGCGUGUGUUCGACACACCUAAUCCAAGGAGAGUCCAUGUUUCGUGGUUUGAGAUGUAUUUAAUUUUUCCAAGCUAUUCAUUUUGAUUUUGAUUUGGUCUCAAUUCUGACUUUGGGAUAGAUUGAGUAAACUUUAAUCUAUAUAAAUUUAAGAUAAUUACACAUGAAAGACAAGUGGGCAACAAGCUCCGCUAAUGUUGUGAUUAAUUUUUGGUUAAAUCUGAAACUUAGCUCAAUUUUGUUAAAUAUUGGUUAAAUAAUGUGAUUAAUUUCUGGUUUGGGUAUAUAUGUUUGCUGUUGUUGGAUUGUUAUGUCAUGUUUUGGACUGCUGAUCAUCCUCCCGUGCUGUUAGUCGGGAGCUUCACUACCUUAGGGAAGCUUUUUCGCGGUAGUUAGUCCUGCGCGGUUGUAAAGUGUGUUCUUGCAAACACCGUUUUAGGUUAACACUUGAUCAAAAAUGCUCUGAAGUCAAGUCUUAGAGGUAUAGUGAAUAUGUAAAAAGUGGUGAUCUGACCUAAUGGCACUAGGGUCCUAUAUAUAGGCCUUCAUCUAACGGAUAUGGCUAUCAUUUUGCCUAAAGGGUGAGGAGCGGUUAGCACCGCUCCGUCCCUUCGAUGUGUUCCCAUGUGUCCUAUUGUUUCGGACCUAUCCGCUUCUACACGACUUCAUCCAUCCUUAUCUAGGUUAUUUUACCCAUAGGAAAAGCAUGAGCUAGUCUUUUGGGCGUAUUGGGCUUCCUGUUAUAGAGGCGGGUCCAGCCCAACCAAAUUUCUGGGUCUCGCCCAGUCCAAAGUGAAAUCAGUAAAUUUAAGGUGGGGAAGAUAUGUAUUAGGUGUAGAAUUGGGAUAAUUUUUAGUUUUUUCUUAAACAGCGAAUGUCAAUAUUGUUAAUAAUUGUUGGCAUUAUUAUGCUGGGAACGGGGAUCAAACCCUCAACCUCCUUAGCACUCCACUUCUUAACUCCCCCACCUCAGUCACCAAACCAAUCUUAUUCUUAUAUCCAUUGGAUAAAUUGUUUGAUAAUUUGUAUGGCUAUAGGGAUUAUUUGACAUUAAAGCAUGACUUUUAUAUUUUCUUGCAAUUUAAUUUAUGCUAUUAUGAUAUGCUACUGUUUAUUUGCAAUUGUACAUUUGUAAAUAAACAGUAGCAUAUCAAAAUAAGAUGCAGUUUUUGUGGUCAUUCUAUUAAUCUCAAUCUCGAUAAGAAAGAGCUUUCUCCUGUAAUCAACGUUGGUAAUGUGAUUGUGAAGUGUAUUUAUUAAUAUGCUCUAUGCUCUAAGUAUAGCCCUUAAAUCCGAGUUGUCUAAUCCUACGUUUUUUCUGCAGUGUGAUGGCAUUAAACAAUAGCCCAACUAAGCUUCAUUUUCGAGCUUCUGUAUUUUCACGGUGGGAGUGCCUUGGAACACGAGAAAUAAUUGGUACAUGCUAAACCAAACAUACAUUAAGUAGUUAAGAACUUUUGUGUUAUAUGCAUCUGUUUUCGGACUUUGAUCCAAAAGUGUUGGAAUUAGAUUUCUAAAAUUGGUAUCAAUUAUAUUCUCAUGUUGGAUCCAAGAAAUUGUGAACUAAUGGUUAUUCCUUUAUAUAUUCUAAAUUGGUUUGUGAAUUGAGUGUUAGAUAAUACACAUUAGCAAGUCCUUUUGAUAGAAAUGAUGACUAGGUUGCUUAACCUUGGUGAUUUGAUACUAUUUGUGUAGUCUUUUGUUGAUUUACAUUUGUUUAUUUGUAUCCAUGUUUUCUUUUCUUUAUGCUAUCUUUUCUUUAUAAUAAUAAUGAAUGGAAAUAUAACCAUGUUUGGUCUUACAACUCUGUCAGGUUCAACCUUCUACAAUACAUGAAUUUAUUUUGCUUCCUUUCAAUUAAGAACAAAUGAACUACUGAUCAUUUGAUGACAGUAGCCAUUUAACCUACCUGUUAUUCAUACUCUAGAGUUUGCAACAAUAUAGCACCCUUGAAUUUCUUAGAUACCAUAGUGUUCGGUUUUAAGUGUGGCUGGUUAAGUGUGACAACGACUAUAAUGAGUAGAAUGUUGAAUGUAUAAGAUAAGUGAUAUCCAUUAAUCUAAUGUAUUAAGGUUUUGAGUAAAGAUGUGGUGUCUCUCUCGUGGUCUUGGAGCAUUUGGGCCUGUUGUUUCUCUCGUGCCCCUGCACUGUCCAACAAAUAGAUUCAGGAAAACAUGUAUAUAUACCCUAUACUAUCUUGACAAAUCCCUUCAAGCACACCUAUCUCACUGUAAACACUCCAUCAAAUUCAAUAAAGGGCCUUAAGUAAAUGAUUGGCAUACCAUAUAAAGAACAACAUAUGCACUUUUAUACAAGGUAANNNNNNNNNNNNNNNNNNNNNNNNNNNNNNNNNNNNNNNNNNNNNNNNNNNNNNNNNNNNNNNNNNNNNNNNNNNNNNNNNNNNNNNNNNNNNNNNNNNNNNNNNNNNNNNNNNNNNNNNNNNNNNNNNNNNNNNNNNNNNNNNNNNNNNNNNNNNNNNNNNNNNNNNNNNNNNNNNNNNNNNNNNNNNNNNNNNNNNNNNNNNNNNNNNNNNNNNNNNNNNNNNNNNNNNNNNNNNNNNNNNNNNNNNNNNNNNNNNNNNNNNNNNNNNNNNNNNNNNNNNNNNNNNNNNNNNNNNNNNNNNNNNNNNNNNNNNNNNNNNNNNNNNNNNNNNNNNNNNNNNNNNNNNNNNNNNNNNNNNNNNNNNNNNNNNNNNNNNNNNNNNNNNNNNNNNNNNNNNNNNNNNNNNNNNNNNNNNNNNNNNNNNNNNNNNNNNNNNNNNNNNNNNNNNNNNNNNNNNNNNNNNNNNNNNNNNNNNNNNNNNNNNNNNNNNNNNNNNNNNNNNNNNNNNNNNNNNNNNNNNNNNNNNNNNNNNNNNNNNNNNNNNNNNNNNNNNNNNNNNNNNNNNNNNNNNNNNNNNNNNNNNNNNNNNNNNNNNNNNNNNNNNNNNNNNNNNNNNNNNNNNNNNNNNNNNNNNNNNNNNNNNNNNNNNNNNNNNNNNNNNNNNNNNNNNNNNUGAGAUUCAUGUUGACUUUUGUUGUUGUUGUUCAUCGACAUUCUUUGUUGCUGUUUUUGUUUAACACUCCUCCCUGACUGAAUAUCUUUGAGUUGUAUCCAGCCCGAGAUUUAUGUUGAUUUUUGUUUUUGUUGUUGUUGUUGUCUACAUCUUCAUAUGGUAUAUGAGCAUAUUUUUCAUGUAUUGGUUUUGGGUUUUGUAAUACAUGUGUAUGUAUCCUACUUUUCAUGUAUUGGUUAUGGGUUAUUAAUACAUGUGUAGGUAUCAUACUUUUCAUGUAUUGAUUUUGGUUUUGAUUUUGGUUUUGGUUAUGGGUUAUUACAUAUGCAUAUUUCAUGUAACACAUAAAGAUGUAGUUGUGGUUAUGAUUUUUUUUUUUGUUAUGGGUUUUUGUUGAUUUUUUCAUCUUCUUCUUCAUCAUCUUCUCCUUCUUCCAUCUUCACGGGUCCUUUUGAACGACGGCGCUCUGAUGCCACUGAUAUGGUUUUUUUGUGUUUUUGUAUUGCGGAAUUUGGUGUGAUAUAAAUUUAAGGAGAAAACUCUCCUCAAAUAUAGGGUUAUAGGAAGAAUACUAAAGUUCUUAUUUUAUUCAUCAUGCUUAUGGCUCUAUAUAUAGAGCUACAUAAAAAAAACACUAAUCCUAUAAUAAAAUUUAAACAAAUCUUAAAUAUUCUAAACUGAAAUAUAAAUCAUAAACUCUAAUAUUAUAUUAUUUCAAAUAUAAAUCUAAACUAUAUUUAAAUAUAAAAUCUUCCAAAAAAAAGAUAUUUAGACAUUAUUCCCAACAAUUCCUUUAUAUAUUCUAAAUUGGUUUGUGAAUUGAGUGUUAGAUAAUACACAUUAGCAAGUCCUUUUGAUAGAAAUGAUGACUAGGUUGCUUAACCUUGGUGAUUUGAUACUAUUUGUGUAGUCUUUUGUUGAUUUACAUUUGUUUAUUUGUAUCCAUGUUUCCUUUUCUUUAUGCUAUCUUUUCUUUAUAAUAAUAAUGAAUGGAAAUAUAACCAUGUUUGGUCUUACAACUCUGUCAGGUUCAACCUUCUACAAUACUUGAAUUUAUUUUGCUUCCUUUCAAUUAAGAACAAAUGAACUACUGAUCAUUUGAUGACAGUAGCCAUUUAACCUACCUGUUAUUCAUGCUUUAGAGUUUACAACAAUAUAGCAUCUUUGAGUUUCUUAGAUACCAUAGUGUUCGGUUUUAAGUGUGGCUGGUUAAGUGUGACAACGACUAUAAUGAGUAGAAUGUUGAAUGUAUAAGAUAAGUGAUAUCCAUUAACCUAAUGUCUUAAGGUUUUUAGUGAAGAUGUGGUGUCUCUCUCUCGUGGUCUUGGAGCAUUUGGGCCUGUUGUUUCUCUCGUGCCCCCGCACUGUCCAACAAAUAGAUUCAGGAAAACAUGUAUAUAUACCCUAUACUAUCUUGACAAAUCCCUUCAAGCACACCUAUCUCACCGUAAACACUCCAUCAAAUUCAAUAAAGGGCCUUAAGUAAAUGAUUGGCAUACCAUAUAAAGAACAACAUAUGCACUUUUAUACAGGUAAGUAUGACAAUUUUUUGGAUUCCAAUGUAUAUGAAGUGCCUAAAAUAAACACUCUUAAUCUGUUUUAGUUUUAUUUUUGUGAAGAAUCAAAUAGUUGAGAAGUUUUUGAAGUUUGUAUUUUCACUCAUCUUUGCUAGUUUUCCUUUCUUUUUUUUUUGUUUUCCAAACACAGCAUCAAGAUCCAAAGAGAAAAGAGUAGAGAAAAACACAACAAACCAAAUCAUACUAAUACUUAAAUAGAUCUAAGAUAGUAAAUUGAAGCCAAAUCAUUAGUACGAGGUCUGAUGCCGCCGCACACCCUACACACGGGUGUGGGCCGGGUCUGCAUUCCAUGAGUAUUUUUGGCCCUAGAUGAAGGCUAAAUACAUCUGGACUUCUCAAACAAGGUUCUUUAACCACUCCUAGCAUAUGCGGCAUAAAAAAUACCAGCUGUGAAAUACCAACAGUGAAAUCACCACAUCAUUUGCAUGCAUAAUUUCUUGAACAAGCAGAAAUCAAGAUUGGCAGCUCAUGUCAUUGAUUUGCCAUAAAAACAACACUUAAACACAAGGGGAGCUAGAAGACAAGCUAGGAAAUUAAUUAUACUACUCUUUAUUUUUAUUGUGACAGUUCAAUUCAUGGAUUUGCAAAAAAAAAAAAAAAAUCAACACUUAACAAGCAAACACUUAUGUAUUUUGAUGUUGUUGUUACAUGAAAUGAAAAGAAAAUUAAUAAACAUCAUUUUUACUUUGUGAACGUUGACGGAAGGGAUCGNNNNNNNNNNNNNNNNNNNNNNNNNNNNNNNNNNNNNNNNNNNNNNNNNNNNNNNNNNNNNNNNNNNNNNNNNNNNNNNNNNNNNNNNNNNNNNNNNNNNNNNNNNNNNNNNNNNNNNNNNNNNNNNNGGUGAACCAAUAUCUAGGAAGCACCGACACUCCUCAGAUUAGGCGUGUCUGUGUCGGACACGUGAGGUGUCCGUGUCCGACAUCGACACCGACACUUAUGAUUACACUAAAUUAUGUUAUUUUUCCAAAUUUUUAUCAGUGUCGACGUGUCAGUGUCCGUGUCGUAUCCAGUGUCCGUGUCUGUGUCCGUGCUUCAUAGACCAAUAUACAUAUACCUUGAAUCCUGAUUUUAUUUUAUAAUAAUUUUUUAAAGAAAAUAAAAAAAGAACACUUGGCAUGAUCUGGAACCCACGAUUGAUCGGACGGCCUUAGAUGAAGCAAAGUCAGGCUGCAGUUCCCGUGUAAUUGUCCCAUUGAUACAUAUUAUUGCAGAAGUUAAAAUGGACAGAUUUUGGGCUUAGGCUCCUUUUGUACCCAAAAAAAAAUAAAAUGGACAGAUUUUAUCUUAACUUUAUAUUAUUAAUAAUUAGAGAUUUUAUUUUGCCACCCUACUCAUUCUGGAGCACGCCCUAUGAAUUUAUCAAAAUACCCCCGUCUGUUAUUUAAGUAGUGGACACCCCCCAAAACACCCUACCUUUAUAACGUCCGUCACUUAAAUAGCAGACGACGUGUUUUAGAAAUUCUUAUUUUUAUAAUGUCUGUUACUUAAAUAGCAAAAACGUAAAAAGGGAAUGACUUAGGACACGCGAGUAAUCGGUAGGGUUGCAAAAUAAAUCCCUAAUAAUUACAUGUGCAAAAGAUUGUAAGAGGAGUCUACGUAUACGAUAAGAUCCUAGGUGUAGUACAUUGUCUAGUCGGGACACCUGGUUUACCCUAGUUGGAGGCUUUGUGUUUUGGUAAUUGGUUAUAGUUGGAGAGAGAAAAAUUGGAGUAGGUUUUUAUAGUAGUAGGACACCACACCACUAGGCUAAAAAAGAAUAAUAUAAUAUCAAAAUGUUUUUUUUUAUUUGAUGGUAUUUAUCCAACAAUUAAUAAUGAUAAAUAUAAAUUACUUUUCAUAUGAAAUAAAAAUUAGUUUGUAGAAAUUAUUACAUACAAAUUUACUUAUAUGACUUAUUUUCAUUGAAUAUUGAAUAUAUACAUUCAACUCUUUAAAGAAUAAUGUAUGUCUCACGUAUCAAAAUAUUUCUUUUGUGAUAAAAUAUAAUCAAAAUUUAUCAUUUUAGAUAGAUUAAUAUAGAAUUUUUAUAGUUCCCGCGAACUUAGCUCAGUUGGUAGGGACAUCGACUAUAUGUGCAAGAAUUCAGGUUCGAACCCGGGACACUCCACUUAUUCAUCUUUAUAAUGAAUUUUCUAGUCACUAAACUACUUAAACAAAACAAAAAAAAUAGAAUUUUUACAUAAUUGACGUAUUUGAUCCAUAAUACUCCCUCCGUCUCAAUAUAUAAUUGACGGAUGAAAUAUAAAUUAGAUAUAUUAAUUAUCCUAUAAAAAUAAAAAGAUAAUUUUUAUUUAUAGUUUAUCUCAUUAAGAGUAUCUUCUAGAACACUCAAUGAUGCUUUUUAUUCUCGACAUAGUAGACUAAAAAAGGUAAUUAAAGCAUUCAAAAUAAUAUGCUAUUUUUAGCUCUUUUUUCCUUAAUUUGUUUAAAAAAAGCACUUUUAUUUUAACAACUUAUUGCGAUUAUAUUUUUUUUUCCUUUAUUUGGUAGAUACAUCAUGUGACUGUGGAAUUGUGUAUGUACUAGGAGGAGCAGAUAACUCACUGCAAUUAUUGUUAUGUUAUGGCUGUUUGUUGAGUUGAACUCGGGCGCGUAAGGAAAGCGAUGCUUCUUGGAUAAUGUACUACAUGACAGUUAAGUUGUUCCUCUCUUACAGCCACAUGCAUGCCUUGCUUUUUAGAAAUUAAUUAACUUUUUGUUUAUUUAAUGGAUUGAUUUACACAUUUUAAAUAUAAAAAAUUGUUUCGAAAAAAUAAAUAUAAAAAACUGUGAAAUCUUAAAUUCAUUAAACUUGUAUCUUUGUAAAUUAACGUUCAUGCAAUUUUCGACUGAAUUAUACUUACGCUUAAUUUAUUUGUUGAAUAUCUAGUUAAUAGGGUAAAUUAUGUUCAUGUUUUGAGUUGGAUUCCAAAUGAAUUGUAGACGGUUGCAGAUCCACUGCCCAACCAGCCCGAAUACUUAUUCAGACUCUGGUCAAUAUUUUAUUUAAAACUAAUAUUUUAUCUAGACUUUAUAAAUUUUUUGUCUCAGUUACCGAUUAUAGACUCUUUUAAUCAAUACCAUGUAUGUUUUUUAUUUUUUAUUUCGGUUUUCAUAUAGGUUCUUUAAUUAGAAAGUUAAUCUAUAUUUGUGGUGUGUAAGAUAUUGACUAAUGUCUAUGUAUGUUGAUUAUAAUUUGUACACUGUUAUGAAUAUAUUAGUAGAUGUCCAUUAGUCUUGGCCCAUAUUCAUUGGCCCAUAUAUUAUCCUAUAAAUAGAGCAUAUGAUACAAUGUGUCAUACACCUUGAAUAGAACAAUACAAUAGUCUAUUCCUUUCUCUUCUCUCUUUCUCUCCCUCUUCUCUAUUCUAGUUAUUCUCUAGAAAUAGUUCAUAACACGUUAUCAGCACGAUAGUCUCUCUCCCCUCUCUAGAAAGNNNNNNNNNNNNNNNNNNNNNNNNNNNNNNNNNNNNNNNNNNNNNNNNNNNNNNNNNNNNNNNNNNNNNNNNNNNNNNNNNNNNNNNNNNNNNNNNNNNNNNCAAAAGUCUCCAUGCAAGAAUCGACACAUUCAAAGGAAUUUGUCUAUGCUAUAUAAGAUCGUGACCAUCAUCCAAAUCAACCAUGUCCUGAGAAGUCAAUAACUGAUAUGCACCACGAACAGAGUAACCAUGAUAAGGAUCUGGCAACCACUGUCAUCUGUGUAAAGUACGUGUCUGCAAAGAUAUAUAGUAAGUAGUAAGGUCUGACACUCCCCCAACAUCUCCUCCUCCCACACCCACAACCGCCUUCUCCAAGCCCACUCUUGUCCGCCAACCCUCAACCUAACAAAGACAUCUCAGCUACCGUAGCAGAUUUGUUCUCUGUCAACUCAAACAAACGCCCAAACCUCACACACAAAGCACUAUCUCCUAGCCAUGAGUCUGUCCAAAACAAGGUAUCAGACCCAUCCCCCACCUUCUUUGAGACACUCUCCCGAAACCACCUCACACCAUCAGCACACUCCCGAAUUCUCACAAUCUCCCUCCACCACGCAGACCAUCGCCACCCUCCCUCUUUCACCCUACCUCCCUCCAUCCCAUACCUAGCUGCUAGCACUCUAAACCAUAAACUCUCUAUAUCCAUCAAUAACCUCCAACACCAUUUACCUAAUAAAGCUAAGUUAAACUCCCUCAACUGCCUCACCCCUAACCCAACAUACUUGUAACGACCCGAUUUUUAUUAUUCGCUAUUUAAGUAUUUAAUUAAUUGUUGCGAUAACUUUUAAUUAAGUUAGUGACAUAGUUAUUUAUCGAGAACAUUAGUUAACGAACGAGUUAUGUGGCGUGUGAGUGUUGGGCCGAGUUAAUGGGCCUUGCCCAUUGGGCCUAAGUCACAAUGAAAAUGGGGAGAGCUUUAAAUAGCUCAAAGUAGAUAGAGAGAAUCAUUUUUGUGAUUCAAGAGGAAGAGGUAGAGAUAAGGAGGAGAAAAGCUAGGGAAAGAAGAGGAGAGAAAAGCUUGAGAUUCGAAGAGGAAGCUCGAGAUUUCGUCGGAUCUAAGGUACGAGAGUUAGAUUGCAUAUUCGUGAGUGGUCAUAAAGAUGUGAGGAUGUCGAUUCCUCCAUUCCCAAACUCUUUCGCUCAUUUUCAUUUUUGGGUUGUGGAAUUUUUCUUAAUGAAAGUGAAAUAUAUUGAUCAUAACAUGUUUAAUAAACUCUUAACAAGUUGUAUGAAUGAAUUGGUGGGGUUUAAAAUGAGAAUUUGUAGAUGUUUGCUCAAGAACAUGUGGGUGUGUGUGAGUUUGAGUAAAAUGUAUAAAUCUCAUACUUUUUGAUGUGUUUGUUGUGGAUCCGAAAAUCAAACCGUCCUUUGAUGUUUAUAUACAUGUUGUAUGCGUGAAAAUACUUUUUCUAUGGAUCUGGAACAUCAAAAAUGAAGUUUUGGGUCAAAAUGAGCGAUUAUUUGCUUAUUUUCGUGAAAAUCUGAGAUACAGUCAGUUGCACUAGGCCCCCGGCGUGACUUUCCACGCCCGAUGUAAUUGAUUUAAGGGAUUCAUGUUUUUUUGCUGGAUAUUACGUCUGGCGUGAUCCCUUUCACACCCGGCGUAGUUCAUUUUGGACCUGCGUUGACCGUUGACUUCAGGGUUGACUUUUUGGUAGUUGUUGCACCUAGAACCUAUUUUACUCGGUUUUUUGCGUAGAUUCCGAUUCAGGAGUUUGUUUUGUGAGAUAAUGCAUGCUUAAUACAAUUGAAUUAUAUUAUUAAUAUUGUGUUAAAAUGUGAGUAAAUGUAUUGUAUGUGAUAAUGAUGUGUUGAUGAAUUGUUGAUGGUAUGUGUGGAAUAUAAUUGUUGUUGAUGAUUGUUGAUGAUGUUUGUUUAAAUAUCAAAGAAGAAUAUUAAGGUGUAAAUCAACUUAAUAAAGAAGAAUAUUAUGAAUUGUAUUAUAAUCCCAAUAAAAAAGAAUAUUAGAAUUAUGUUAUUCUAAUAAAGACGAAUAUUAGGUAUAGUGUUAUCUAAUAAAGACGAAUGUUUGAUAGUGUUUCACAUUUAUAAUUGAUGAGCUUAAUGCUAAAUCUAUUUAUUGAUGUGUCAUAAUAAAUGAGCAGAGUCCAUCAUGACAUAAAUCUGAACACGAGUAGUGUCCUAAAUGACUUAAAAUUGUAUGGAUUAUGUAUCCGAAAAUGAAUGAAUAAAUGGUAUCGCGUGCAUUAGAUAUGUCUAGGGUGACAUAGCAUCAGUUGUGGCAUUAGAUUGCAUUAGGAUUAUGUGUACAUUACGUGAUAAUUGGUGUGUGACACAUAUUUGGAACUUGUUAUAAAUUGUCUAUACUUGCUAAAUGUUUGUUGUUUAUAAAUGAUGUUUUGAUUACAAUUAUCUUGUAAUCAGAUCUAUUCUUGAAUGAAGAUAUUAAUGUAUAUUUGUGAGUUAGAGUCUAUCAGAUCAAGGUCGGAAAGUCGGGCUUUCAAGGAAUCUAUCUUACUGGAUAAGUUUUGAGUACGAGCCAAAUGCCACUCUUUCAGAGUCACCUUAAUCAUCUUAAAUUUUUCUUUAAGGACAAAACCACCCCAGUCGUCAACCUGUAAAGAAUUCCAUUUAUCCUUCACAAAUAGUUUAUACCCCGGAACGUCUGACCAACACUUCAGCAUCCUUGAAGGACGGGAGCCCCAGUUCUCCUCAUUGGCUGACAAAAUCAGCGGACAGUGAUCAGACAAACUACGCAUCUGAUCAACAACAGUAUUUUAAAAUACAAAUUAUAUUUCUGAUAAAUUAAUUCUCGUGUUUAAUUUAUACUAUAUAUUUUACUUGAUUAAAAACUUAUAAUAUUAAAAUCUGAAGGAGAUUAAAAAAAGGGUCUUGUUAACAUGUGCAUAUAGGGCACAUGAUAAAGUAUCUUAAUAUAGAAAUUUAACAUUUAAUGAUACAAGACAUUUAAUGCUUGAAAAGUUAAAAUGCAUAAAUUCCAAGGCAUAAUUUCUAUUUUUACUACCUUAACAUGUGCCAUAUAUGCACAUGUUAACAUUCUCCUUAAAAAAAAAAUCUGAAGUGUUUAACACCGUGACAUUUUUGUUAGGGUCAUGCUAAAUUUUAUGUAAAAGAUGUCAAUUUUUAAGGAGUUAAAUGUACCAUUCUAAAAAAAUGUACCAUUCUCAAAAUAAUAUUUUUUUUUACGAUGUCAAAAAAAAAAUUACUUCUCUAAGAAAUCUGUGGGCCACUUGUUUGAAAUUUUAAUUUUUUUUUUAUUACACUUUAGUGCUGUUUUUUGUUUCACAAGAACUUUAGUGUUGUUACAUGUGAGAAAAGAUGUUUUCUCUCCCCACCCCUGUGAUUCUUUUAUACCCUUCAAUAUUCCGAUUUUGCCUUUAUAAAAAACUUCGAUUCGCAGAAAUCGAAUUUUUUCUAGUACAAAUUCAAAGUAAAUUUCAGUUUUCAAGGCAAAAAAAACUUCGGUUGCAAGGGUAAAAUUGGAAAUUCAAGGGGUAUAAAAGAAUCACGGGGGGUGGGGAGAGAAAACAUCGUGAGAAAAUCACUAUCAUUCCCUAUCGUUGUUUUGCGUGGACCUCUCCUCACAUAUGAAAGGAGAAAAUAAAAAAUUAUGGAGCCCACCUUUUUUAUAAUUUUUAUUAUUAUUAUUACUUUAUAGAUCUAGGCAUUUGUUAUAAUUAUAAAAUAUGGAUAAAAUAUAAGUGAAAUGUGAAACUGUGUUCUUUCUUGUAAAAUUAUUGAAUGAAUCAUAUAAAUAAAUCUAUUAAAAUGAGAUACCUAUAAAAGACCAUUAUACCCUUGCUUGCACCACAAAGCUUCAUGUGUCAAGCAACUAUAAUAAUAAUAAUAAUAAUAAUAAUAAUAAUAAUAAUAAUAAUAAUAAUAAUAAUAAUAAUGUUUUAUUACAUUUUCAUUGAUACAUUGAUUUUAUGUCAUUUUGUUUAUAGUAGUAAUUUUUAUGGGGAUGUAAACUUUUAAAUAUAUAGUAAUAUGUGUGUUUAUUUUUUUUUUAAUAUUUUUUACACGAAAAUUUCUUCUCAUGAUAAAUCUCAAUAAAGUUUUAUAUUUAGGGACAGAGGUAUUAAUUUCUACGAGGACUUAUAUUUCUACUCAUAUAUUAAUAUAUAUAUUUUCUCUAUAAUUUUAACGGGGAUCUAUAUAUUAAAUAAUAUAAUAAUAUGCAUGCCUAUUUAUUUUAUGUAUAAAUAUUUGUCAUUAUACAUAAAAUAAAUCACUAAACAAGAUCUAUAUUUCUAAUCAUAUAAUAAUACAUGUGUCUAUUUUUUAAUAAUUUCAACGCAGAAAUUUCUAUUUAUGAAAAAUCUCUAGAUGGAGGUAGUAAUUUCUAAGGGGACCUAUAUUUCUUAUCAUAAAUUAAUUAGUACAAGUGUCUAUUUUCUAUAAUUUCAAUGGGGACCUAUAUUAAUAUUUGGCUUAACUACACAUUUGGUCCCUUACGUUUAUUUUAGGUUUCAAUUUGGUCCCUUACGUUUAUUUUAGGUUUCAAGUUAGUCCUUUUUGUCAAUUUUGUCAUAUGUGGCAGCCAAUUUGCAUAUGUGNNNNNNNNNNNNNNNNNNNNNNNNNNNNNNUAGAUCACUAUAUAUAGAUCACUAAUCACUUAGAAAUUUACAAAAAAGAAUAGAGAAAAAUCUCAAGAGGAUCUUAUAUUUAAAAACAGAGGUAAUAAUUUAUAUGAGAAUCUAUAUUUCUACUCAUAUAUUAACUAAGACAAGUGUUUAUUUUAUAUAAUUUCAACGGGACCUAUAUUUCUACUCAUAUAAUAAUACAUGUGCCUAUUUAUUUUAUCUAUAAAUAUUUAUCAUUUUACGUAAAAUAGAUCACUAAUCAAAUAUUUGUUAUUUGACGAAUAUGAAGAACAGAGCAAGCCAAACAUUUACUUUUGAUACAUAAAUAGAUAAGGGAAAAAAUAUUUAUUAUUGAUAAUUACAACAAUCUUGCAACGAUGAGUAAUUUCAUAACGGGACUAAUUUCGCAAUGUACAAUACUCGCCCUACCUUAAAAAAAUCACGGCAACGCCACGACCCGUGCGUAGGCACAAGUAUUAUCCUAGUUGUUUUUAUUAAAGCUAUUGUCUCUANNNNNNNNNNNNNNNNNNNNNNNNNNNNNNNNNNNNNNNNNNNNNNNNNNNNNNNNNNNNNNNNNNNNNNNNNNNNNNNNNNNNNNNNNNNNNNNNNNNNNNNNNNNNNNNNNNNNNNNNNNNNNNNNNNNNNNNNNNNNNNNNNNNNNNNNNNNNNNNNNNNNNNNNNNNNNNNNNNNNNNNNNNNNNNNNNNNNNNNNNNNNNNNNNNNNNNNNNNNNNNNNNNNNNNNNNNNNNNNNNNNNNNNNNNNNNNNNNNNNNNNNNNNNNNNNNNNNNNNNNNNNNNNNNNNNNNNNNNNNNNNNNNNNNNNNNNNNNNNNNNNNNNNNNNNNNNNNNNNNNNNNNNNNNNNNNNNNNNNNNNNNNNNNNNNNNNNNNNNNNNNNNNNNNNNNNNNNNNNNNNNNNNNNNNNNNNNNNNNNNNNNNNNNNNNNNNNNNNNNNNNNNNNNNNNNNNNNNNNNNNGAUACCAAGUUUUAAAAAAAAAAAAAAAAAACUAUAUAUACACGUGUCUAAGUGUCCGCAUAUAUGUCCACAUAUGUAAAUUGUUUGUCACAUACGACAAAACUGACGGAAAUGACUAACUAAUACAAACAGUAGAAGCAAAAGGAACCAAAUUGAUACUUUUCAAAAGUCAUAAAUUAUAUUUGUAGUUAAAAGCUAACAAAAAAUAAAACUAAAAAUUUGAAGCUUAAAAUUCAUAUACAAACCUAAAAACUGACUAAAAUGAUAUAAAAAAAUAAAGACUAAAAUAUUAAUUAAAAUUAGAUUAAGGGAUUAAACAUGUAAUUUUAUAUUUCAAAAAAAAAUUAUAUAAAAAAUAAAAAUAAAAAAUUAUAUUUCUUUGUUUGUUUCUCUAUUCUUUUUUUCCCCUACGUGUAUAUAACAAAACUCACUUUCCAUUUUCGGCUUUCACUAUUCAUAUUUUCUUCUUUUUCCAUUAUUUUCUUCUUACGUUUAGAACCAGAAUAUUUUCUCACGGAACCACCGUGCCGGAACUCUCCUCCGGUCGGCAUCUUCUUCUCCUUCUAAGGUGAGUCUCUUAUAAUUUCAUUACUUUAUUUUCAUUUUUCAAAACUAAAAUUCCUUAAUCAAACAAAGCAUCCAUUAUUAUUUGGUAAUUAAAAACAUCAAAUCUCCAUUUUUUGGAAUUAGAAAAAGCAUCCAUUGUUAUUUGUUUUCUUCAUCAAAUGUUGCACAGAUAUUUUGAACGUUUAUGUGUUUUAAUAAUAUAUUGCUCCUUCUUAAGGUCUCAGAUUUGAUUCUCUCUAAUGCCAAUUUAGGUGGGCUAUUGACGAAAUCACCAAUUCCCCCCUGCUAACUUGUAUUGAAUUUAUCGUCAAUUUAGUCUAUGAAUUAUAUCACUUAUUAGCAAAUAAUUAGUCCAUGAAUUAAUAUCGCUUAUUCUCAAACAAGUUAACAGAAAAACCAAGUUGCUAGUCAUUCAAAAUUGGAUUUUUUUUUUUUGGUCUAUUAACAAGUUUCAGGGUGUAAAUGCUCAACUGCAAUUUUGGGGGUGAGUUAUUGAUUUACUCAAAUAGUAUAUUUCUAUAUACUUGUUCUUAAAUUGUCACAAGCUGCAUAUUACCAAUUUUUAUGUCUCAAGUUUCAACUAUGAUGGUAUAUGUUAUCUUCAUGAGUAUUCUUGUUUGGACUGCUGAUCACCCUCCCCUAUCCCUGCAGAUUAAUUCUUCGUGCAGUUCAGUCGCGGUUGUAAUGCGAAAUUAAUCGGUAAGCUUAAGGUGGAUGAAGGUAUGUAUAUUAGGUGUGUAGAGUUUGGAUAGAUUCUUUUUUAGUAUGUAUGCUUGUGAACUGUGAUAUUGCAAUGUUAAAAAAGGAUGAGAUGCAGUUUAUAUCUGAUUAUUUACAUAUAUUCACAGAAAAACUAAAAGAAAAUAAUAUUUUUCAAUUUUUACCUAUGUUUAUUUAUACAAUAUAUAUUCGUAGUACUAAAUGGCACAAAUCUUCUUCAAUAUAUAUAAAAUAAAAAAUGGUACAGUAGAAACAAUUUUCUAUUCUAAAAUACAAAAAAAUGAAAGUAAACUAACCAAAUCAAAUUGAAAAACUCCAUAAUGACACCUCAACAUCUUGAAAGUCUACAUGAUCAAUAUGUUCAUACUCAUGCCCUAAGCUAUGUGUUGGGGACAUUAGUGCCAUAUUCUUCAAUGACUCUGGAAUGUUCAACUCUCCCUCUUCUUCCUCUUCCAUACUAAAAAUAAGCCGCUCCGGCUCCUCUAUAGCGGCGACAACUUCAAUUGUGUCAGUGUCAUUAACCAUUAAAGUCUUGUUUGGUCUGAAAGCCUCCGCAGCUUCUGAAGCCGCCUUUUGAAUAUCUUUUGUGUUGGUAGUGGUAGGCAUACGAAGCCGCCAAGCUGAGUCUGCAAAGUUGAGACAAGCAUUGCGACCUCUCAAUGCCAAUGCGGCAACAUCAUGGGCUCGUGCUGCCAUUUCGGCUGUUGGAAAAGUCCCUAGCCAAAUCUUAGUCUUUUUGUUAGGCUCUCUCAUUUCACAUACCCAUUUAUCUAAGUUCCUCCUCCUCACACCCCUAUACACCGGGUGGCGAGUCUCUUUGAACUUCUUUCUCCCUGCACGCUUCUUCGGGGUACUCGCAGCUAACCGCACCUCCUCGUUGGAAGUUGACAUACCAUGAGAGACAUCUAAAUUGGGAAGAGAUAUUUUGUGUGACGAAGAGGAAGGUAUUGAAGAAAUGGGGUGUGAAGAGGAAGAGUUGUUAGUUGGAAACAUAUGUAUGUGUUAAAGAGAGUGAAAAAGUUUUAAAAGGGAAACUUGGAAUUGAAGAUAGGGCAUGUUAAAGAGAGUAAAGAGUAUGGUGUUGUAUUUAUUAGGGAGGUGUCAUGGUUGAAGGAAUGGUAACAGUGAGAAUACUGUUUUGUGAGUGUGUGUGUGUGUUUUUUUUGUGAGUGAAUGAGAGAAUGGACUACGGAGCUUCAAACACACCUCUUUUGGAUUACUAUUAUAAAAGCUAUCUAUGUCAUAUCUUUAGUCAAUGUGAGACUUUUAACACACUCCCUCACGUCCAGAACUGAACAAGCUGAAACGUGGACUCAAUAACAAUGGGUGGUCCAAAUAUGAGAGGUCUCCACAACAAACAACAAAUGGAUCUAACAUAGGCUCUGAUACCAUAUUAAAAUUUGAGAGGCUCAUACUGAACCACAAAAAUUAGCUUGAGAGCUGAAGUUUACACUACUAUUAUAAAGAUUAUCUAUGUCAUAUUUCUAGCCAAUAUGAGACUUCUAACAUUACUUAUAUCGAAUGCAAGAGUUUCUUUUUCUCGAAAGGCACAGUAUUUACCUUAGAGAAUAAUGCUAGCAACACACUCUUUAACAAACACACUCCAACACACUUUUUUUUAUUGGUUGAAAUUCACAUGGGUCCCAUAAAAAAAGUGGACCCAUAUAACUUUUAUGUGACCAUAUAAAUUUUAACCAAUAGAAGAGAAUGUGUUAGAGUAUGUUUGUUAAAGAGUGUGUUGCUAGCACUCCUCUUGUUGACUACCGUUGAGAAAAGAGACGUGUGCGUGUUUGUAGUGGAACCCCACACCAGGCUCAAAGAGUAGUAAUAAUGUUAUCAAAAUAUCUUCAAAGACAGUAGAUGAUGUUUUUUAUUCGUCGACAAAGAAGACUAAAUAAGGUAAAUAAAGCAUUCAUGAGAAUGUGCUGUUUUUAGCAUAUUUAUCUUCCUGUAUAGUGUAUACUAUUUCAUCCGUUAUAAGUGGAAAAUUCUUUCAUAGACGCAAAUAUAAAUAUGAGGUGUUAGACACAUUCACAUAAAAAAGCAAAAAUUAAAAAAAAAAUUAAAAAAUAAUGUUGAUUGAUGUGAUUAUAUUACUUUUGAUUUAAAUUUUUGAAUUAGUGUGUGUGCGCCCAAAUAAAAUAUGAUUUGGGUUUGUGUCUAUCCAAAUCUUUCUCGUUAUAAGUUAGGAAGCAUGUACAUCUUAAGUAUGUCACGAUGUCCAACACGUAUCGGUGUCUGACACUCGUAUGACACUUCUAUGAUACGUGUUGGAUAACUCAGAUCGAUGUUCAAAAAAAAAAACUCAAUUUUGACACUUCUUUCAUCGAUGUCUGAACCUGUAAGACACUCGUAUGACGUGUCAGACAGGUGUCCCAAAUUUUUUUAUUUUUCUUUGCUUAUACUCUUCUUAGACACAUAUCACACAUAUCUACAAGAGUUAACGAUGUGUCGAAACAACAAUAUUGAUCAAUGAGAGAUUGAAGAGAUUACAUUUUGAUUACUAUAUUUUUAGAUUUUUCAAUAAUAGAUGGAUAAAUAAAGGUAAAAUACUAUCAUAUCUUGUUUUAAACUUUUUUUAAGAAAUAAUUUGCUCAACUUAGAUUUAUAUGUAUAGAUAUUUUGAUUCUUAAUUUAUAUCUUUUAUAAAUAUGUAGUGAUGUCGGUGUCCUAUAAUUUUUACUUUAGCGGUGCCGCCAUGUCCUUGUCGUGUCGCGGUGUCCGUGCUUCAUAGGUUAUAAGCAAUAUUUCAAAGAUAAAUUUAUCCCUAAAUAUCUCUUUUCAAUUUUGUAGACACAUUUAUUAUUAUUUUUCCAAAAAUAACACUACUUUGCAUUGGAAUACGAAAAGUCAAAUAAAAAUAUAUCGUUUCACAAAGGACAAUUUAAUAAUUAUAAUACUCAAAAAAUACACAUUUAUUACACUACCAACUUUUCUUAAUAUGCGUAAAAAAAAUUAAUGGAGGCCUAUAUUAAGGGACAGAGGGAGUAGUAUUCUAUACUUUAUAAAAUGCGUUAUUUUAUAUCCCAUUAACUUUAAGCAUAUGGUUAGAGAUUCAAUGUUUGGCUCAUGCGUAUGGACAAAAACUUGAUCUGGCCAGGAGAAUCAACCUUGUGUUCCCACAAGUUACCCGACGGAGAUUAGUCAUCGCUAACUGCAGUGAAAACUUCGUACCAAUAUCAUCGUUAACUGCAGUGAUAACAAUUAACUUUAAACUAAUAUUUUAUGUUAAAAAAUUUAAGUCAUUAUUAAAGAAAUUAAUUUUCUUUCUUUGAAUAUUUUAUUAUUUUAGAAUCUAAAUUUAAUAUAUAAUAGAUUUUAAUUGACUUUGGUAAUUUAUCCGAGAAUUGUAUUGCAUUUUGUAUAGUUUCAUAAUUAUAAAAACAUUUAACAUUAUAUGUGAAUGAUGUGCGUAAAAAAUAGUAGUAAAAAUAUUUGCAUUUGAAUUUUGAUUAUAUUAAAAUGGUCAUUGAAUUGUUUGUUAUCACAAAAAUAUUUAUUUUAGCUCAAUUGUCAGUGAAAAUGGAUUAAAUAUGUACCUCAGGGUAUGUGGUUCGAUUCCAACAGAAGACAAAAAUUCUACUAGAGAGGGGUAUAAAAGAUCGUGAGGUACAACGCCGAGUUUGUCUUCUAAAUAUGUAGAAAAUGGGCCGAAGUUGUUACUUGGGAGUCAAUAUAUUAACCCUUUAAUUUUCAGAAGAAGAGAUCCCGAUAAUCUAAACUUCGAUCACGAGGUAAAUAAAACCUGACAAAAAUUGUUCCCACAAAAAAUUGAGUGAUAAAAAAGAGUAAUAAUGUUAUCAAAAUAGAUGAUGUUUUUUAUUCGUCGACAAAGAAGACUUAAUAAGGUAUAUAAAGCAUUCGUAGGAAUGUGCUGUUUUUAGCAUUUAUCAUUUUUUUUUACUAAGCAUUUAUCUUCUUUUAUAACUCAUUUUAUAAUUGUAUUAUAUAUUUUUUUUUAUUAAAAUUCUGAUUUUUAAGGAAUGUGUUUGAUAAUUUAGAGAUCGACCACGAAAUAAAUAAAAUUUUUGAUUAAUUAUUUUCACUAACAAUUUAAUUUGGGUUCUUCCGAACAAUCUAUUCUAUGAAGAGCUCAAUAAUGAUUAACCACUUAAAUUCAAUGUCUUUGUUAAUUGGAUUUUAUAUUAUUCAAAUUUAAAUAUUUUUUUCCUUAAAAAAAUUUAAAUAUAUUUUUAGUUUCUAUAAAAUUAUAAAUUUUGUUAUUCGUUUUCAUAAUUUUUUUUCUGUAAAUUUAAAUCUCACAAAAUUAUCCUGUAAAUUAUUUUAGUUUUUUUUUUUUUUUNNNNNNNNNNNNNNNNNNNNNNNNNNNNNNNNNNNNNNNNNNNNNNNNNNNNNNAUAGUCAUUGUUGUUAAGUUAGUUUAUAUUUUUGUUGAUGUAUAUAGAAUAUUAUAAAAAGACCCCUCUAAUGUUUUUUUAUUAUUAAAUAAAUUAAGUAUAAAUGUUUUAAAUAUUAAAAGCUGAAGAUAAAAGUAAUGAAAACUCACAAAAAAGAAAUUUUAAGCUAUUUUUUGUGGAGGAAAAAUUUCUUUUCUCAUCUACCUAUUUUUCCUUUUCUAUUUCUUGAGCUUGAAUUCGACCGUAGUGAUAGUGAUACUUACAUAGACAUUUGAGUUCUGCUUACAGCCACAUGUUUUUGGAAAUCAAUUUCGCUUAAUGUAUUUUUCUUUAUUUGUAUUUAGAAUAUUAUUCUUUUUUGACACUAGAAUAUUAUUCUAUAUAUGGAUAAUAUUUGUGAUUUAUAAAGGAAUAUAUCAAACAAAAUAUGCACGUCACUAAUUUUGGAUAAAAAUAACAUCUAUUUAAUUUACCCGUUUUGUUAACGAGUGUCCCAAUACUCUAAGCAUUUCCUUUAUAAAAAUUAUUUAUUUUAAAAGUGAAACAUUUCAAUGUCCAAUAUGCUGAUUUUACACAUUUCUAUAAUAAUUUUAUAAAAAUUUAUUAUAUUUAAGAUCAGUGGCGGCUUGCACACAUGUGCGAGGUGUGCGACGGCAUCGGACCUCAAAAUUUUGAGGGUCUCAGCUCAAAAUUUUGAGGUCCUAUAAUAUUACUUAUAUAUUAUUUAUACCUAUAAAAUAUCAGAUGUAUAUUAAUAGAUUAAUUUUUAGGCCCUAAACUAAUAGUUAUAUAUUGUUAAUGUUCAUAUAAUAUCAUAUGAGUAUCAAUAUAUUAGUUAUCUAUACUCGUAAAUAUAGUUUUAGUUCAUUUUAAUCUUUGCAUAAAAUUUAACUUUAGAUUAAGAGGUUCCUUUUUGACGUUAUAUACAAAGAUAAUUACUUUAUAUUUCUUAUCUCAUUUGAUUUAAUGCAAUUAGUUUAAUAUUGAUAAUCUAUAUGUUUACAAGAAUAAAAAUGAUUUUUUUAUAUUAUACGCAAUUUAAAUCGACAAUUUUUUUUAUAAAAAAAUUAAAUUUUUUAUAUUAAGGGGCCACUUUUAUAUUUUGCACAGAGCCUCCUAAAACUCAAAAACGCCCCUAUAAUACAAUAUUAAGAUUCUUAUAGAGUACUCCAAAUUCUAGUUCUUACACAUAUAAUAAAUAUUUCUGACGAUUAAUUCAAUUCAUGGGACAAAUAUAACAUUAUCUAUUAGUCAAAAAAAGAAAAUAACAUAAUCUAUAGAGACUGGCACCCAAAACAUACAUUGUCUUUAUUACUUAUGUAGUAGUACAACGUAGGACAUGAACGACACCACUAUAGCUCCAUGGGGCCAUGACCGACAUGUCUGUAAUUAGUAUCGUUUGGCCUUAUUAAGCAUGUAACUGACAUGCUCAAGUCAAAAACAUAAUACACCACACAGUACAAUAAUGAGUAUGGGUGGAAAAAACCUACCCACAGAUAACAUCUGUCACGGAUUCACAUGAUUGUUUUAUGGAUACCACCAUACUAAAAGAUAAAAUGAAUGAAUCAUUUUUAUUUUAUUUUUGUUAAAUAUAGUUAAAAUUUCAUUUUUAAAAUGGAUAAAUAAAGUAUUUGAAAUUCGAAUUUUAACUCUAUAUAAUAUUUUCUCUUGUCUGUUAAUAUAUAUCUCAUUUUGACUUUUUCAAAAUGAAUCAAAUGAAGUAUAAUGUCUCUUUUAAGUAGGGAUUUAAAUAGAUAUCCAUGGAGACGGAUAGUAUGAUAUAACUGUUCACUCCGUUGAAUAAAUAUGAUAUUCAUUUUCACGGCUAAUGCUACGGUGGACCUGGACCACCUUCAAAAUAAUAAUAAUAAUAUUAACUUUUGAAGGUAUUUAAUAAAUCGUUAAUCUUGAUGGGUCUCAAUAUAACAUAUCAAAUUAUUUUUAAUUUUUCUAACUAUUUCUAUGAAUGAUCUAUAUAAUAUAAACUUUCAAUCCAACGGUGAAUUUUGUAAAAUUCGUAUUCGCUAUAAUGUUAUUCGUGACUAGUCCACCAUAAAGUGGUCUAUGUUAGAAUUUAUCUCAUAUUCACUCUAUAUUUGUGCGGAUAAUCCACAAAUUUUGAGGUACCCACGAAUUGAUAUUUAUAGAUAUCCAUGGAUAAUGAAUUAUUUGAAAAAAUUGUAAUUUUUGUAAAAUGUUUAUUUUUACUUGAAAUUUGUUCAUCUUCUCUUAAAGAAACAAAAAUAAUAAUAUUAGCAGAUAAUAAUAUUUAUACAUUAUUUAAUAUUUUUCUUGAACUAGUAUCUACUGAUCUACAUCAGUUCAAAGUCUUUUUUUUCUUCUUUUUCUUGAAUAUAUAUAAUUGACAUAAUAAUUUUUUUUAUAGACGAAAUUACAAAGUCAUUGAAAACUCAACACCCAAAGUGGAGUGACCGGGAUUUAAACCCCGAUCCUGAAGUCCAACGCUAACAAUUUCGGUAUUUAUGUCAGUUGAGAUAGAAUUUGUAGACAAUAAUACUUUUUUUCUAAAUGACACUUAAAAAAAUGGAUGUAGUAUUAGAGACAUUAUUGGAUGGAUCGACAUUCGAUUCCAAUUUUCACUUUUUGUUUUUUAUGUUAUAUAGCUUAGUGACUAGAAAUUUCACUCUUAAAAUAGAUAAAUAUGAUUUUCGAAGUUCGAAUCCGAAUCCUUGUAUAUAAAAUAAGAUGUUUAUACCAUCUGAACUAAACUCACAAAAAUAAAUUUCAACUUCUCGAAAUUUAAUGUGAGCUAUUUGACUAAAAAAAUAAAUAAAUUCAUUUUUCACUUAUUUGUUGCUCCUAAUUCUUUCGCGGGUGUUUCCAUUAAAGCAAACACGUUAUUAGCGAGAUUAUCUUAUUCCUCCCACUCGUUUUCCUUACCGGCGCGAGUAAGUUAUGAACCCCACAAAUUGUUUUGUAAUUAUUAUUAAUUUUUUCUCUCUUGUCUUAUUCUCUUUUCCACGUGUAUUCUUAUAUUAGCAACACUUCACUUCCACUUUCCACAUUCACUAUUCACAUUUUCUUCUUUUUCCCAAUUAUGAGUUCUUCCAUUUUCUUACUUUUCUAACAAGAAUAUUUUCUAACGGAACCACCGUGCCGGAACUCUCCUUCCGCCGUCGCCGCCUUCUUCUCCUUCUAAGGUGAGUUUCUUAUUCCGCUGCUUUAUUUUUUAUUCAGUUCAUUCUUUCAAACUAAAAAUCCUGAAUUUUCGUUGAUAAUCAUAAACUUUAUCCUCCUGUUAAAUAAGUUAAAUAUUUGAUUUGAGAAAAUCCCCAAUUUUUUGUUGAAUUGAGUGUUUCCUUGUUAUUUAUUUUGAUAUUAAUUUGGUUUUAUUUCUGAUUUUGGAACAGACUGAGUAAAAAAUUGUGUAGUUUAUAAAGAUGUCAUUUUUUUCUGUGUUAACCCUGUUUCGGGGAAAACAUCUGAUAAUCUAGAAUUCGACUGUGACGUAAAUAGACUCUAACAAAAAAUUGUUCUUCUAAAAAAUUGAACUUAGAUUCUACCGAAUGAUUCGUCUUAAUAGAAGCUCAUUCGGGACCAAUCACUUGAUUAAAAUUGGCCUUAGAAGCAAAAUGCAAUGGGUAUUUGGUGGUAAUAAAUAUAUUGGCUGUUUGAGUUAUUAAUGUUGUGUUUAAUUUCUGAUUUGGGAAUUUUGCUGUUGUUGCAUUGUUGUGUUAUUGUUUAGAUUUCUGAUCACUUUGCUGCCAGCUUUACUACCUCAUGUGUUAUAAUAUAGAUCAGAUACAUCACUUAUUCAAUGAAUUUGAAAAGUUGACAUUUUCUUAUAAAUACGGUCGGAGUGAGUACACUGUACAACUAUUGACCAAAACUCAACUUGAAAUCAGCUUAAUGUGUCAACACACUUAAUUCCAUUUGACAUUUCAUAUUAUAACAUAGACUGAAAAAAUCAUACUAGUAGCAUAAUCAGUUAUGGAAAUGGAAUAAUGAAAUCACGUGAUAGUAAAGGGAUAUUGAUCUGUCAUAUUGCAAUAUUAUAAAACGGAUGAGAUGCACUUUAUACUUGUUUAGUUUCAUUCACAGAAAAGCUAUAAAAAUAUAAUUUUUUCAACUUCCAUUUAUGUAUAUAUACAAUAUCAGUACUACUGAUAAAAAAUGGUCCAUUACAAUCCAAAAAUAACAGUAAACUUUAUAUAAAAAUUCAAUAAAAAAUAAACCAAACAAAUAAAAUACAACUGAAAAAACAUUAAAAAACGUAAAAAAAUCAAAUUGAAAAACUCCAUAGUGACACCUCAACAUCUUGAAAAUCUUCAUUAACAUGCUCAUGCUCAUGCUCAUGCUCUAAGCUAUGUGUAGGGGACAUUAGUGCCAUAUUCCUCAAUGACUCUGGAAUGUUCAACUCUCCCUCUUCUUCCUCUUCCAAACUAAACAUAAGCGGCUCCUCUGUAGCGGCGGAAGCUUCAGCUGUGUCUUCAAUGUCGGUAGUCAUUAAAAUAUUGUUUGGUCUAAAAGCCUCAGCAGCUGCUGCAGCUGCCUUUUGUAUAUCUUUUGUCUCUGUAGUUGCAGGUAUAGGAAGCCGCGUAGCCGAGUCUGCAUAGUUUAGACAAGCAUAACGACCCCUCAAUGCCAAUGCUGCAACAUCAUGUGCUCUAGCUGCCAUCUCGGCCGUUGGAAAAGUCCCUAGCCAAAUCUUAGUCUUCUUGUUAGGCUCCCUCAUUUCACAUACCCAUUUAUCUAAGUUCCUCCUCCUGACACCCCUGUAAACCGGGUGGCGAGUCUCCUUGAACUUCUUUCUCCCUGCACGCUUCUUCGGGGUAGUUGCAGCUAACCGCACCUCCUCGUUGGAAAACGAUAUCUCAUGAGAUACCUCUAAAUUCGGCAGUGAUAUCGUGCGGGAGGAAGAGGAUGGUUCCGACGAAAUAGGUUGUGAAGAAGAAGAGCUGCUACUACUAGUAAACAUAUUUAUGUGUUGGAGACUGGAGAUGAAAAUGGUUUUGAGAUCAAGAGAAGUGAGAAUUGAAAAGAGAGUUGGUGUAAAAAGAUUGAAGAGUAAGGUAGUGUAUAUAUAGUGAAUCAUCAUGGUUGAAGAAAUGAGGUAACCGUGAGAGUAUUUGUGAGUGUGUGUGUUUUGUGUGGUGAGUUGGAUAUUUAACUAUAAUGAGAUGAUGAGAUGAGACAACAGGUUUGCCUUGUUGGUUAUUUUAGUGGCUAUAUUUGGUAAAGAGAAAGGGAAACUGAUGAGGAAAGGGACAAGGAGAGAGAAGAAGUGUGCUUAUUUAGAGAGGGACACCCCACAAGGCUCAAAAAGUGUAGUGAUGUUAUCAAAAUAUCUUCUAUGAUACUAAAUGAUGUUUUUUAUUCCUAUAAGAUUAAAUAAGGUUUUUAAAAGCAAACAUAGAAUAUGCUAUUUUUAGCUCUUAUUUCCUUUGAGUCGAAUAAAGCUCUUUACUCCUUUUAUAGUAAUUUUUGUUCUAUAUUAAAAAAGCAAAUAGUGUAUUUUUUGUCAAAUAAAUUAGUGGUGAGAAAUUCAUUCAUUGAUUUUUUAUUUUAUUUUUUUUACUAAUUCAUUCAUUGAUGUUAAUAAGUGGAAUCAAAGGUAAUAUUAUUACGGGGAGUGUUAUUUGAACACCCAUUUUUCAGGAGUAAAGAGGUUUUUGAGAGUCUCAUAUUUAGGGGCGGAGUUGUUGAUUUGUAAUUCAAUCCUGAGUGUAAUUGAAGUUUGUUAGAGGAGUAGAUUAAAAUAACUAACUUGUAACAAGGUAACUAGUCUUGUGAUGUAAAAUAUGUAUCUCAAUCUCUUAUCAAUAAAACACUAUUUUUCAGGAGAGUAAUUCCUUUCAAAGUGUGUGAUGGUGCAUAGGUGCAGGAUAGCCGUGCACCAUUGUUGCAGGAUUUAGGCGCACGAUAGGUGCAGAGAGUAGUAGAUAAAGAUAACUGAUAUAUUUGGACUAUAUUUAAGACUAAAUUAUAUAAGUUAUUCAAUUAAUUUUUUAAAAAAACUAUUUAUUUAUAAUUAAGGCCAGAACAAAUUUUAGGGUUAAAUAAAUAUUUAGAUCCUAUAAAUAUCUUGACUUUUAUUUUCAGUCCCUAUAAAAAAAAUUUAACAAUUUUUUGUCCCUCAAAUAUUUUCGUUCACAACUUUUUGUCCAUACUUUUAAUCAACUUUACGGACUUUCAUAUUUUUUAAUAGUUUUUUGUGUAUUUAUCUUUAUAAUAUUAUAAGAACUUCUUCCAUAAAAAUUUAGAAUUAGAAUUUUUGCAAGAGAGACUACUUAUGAAUUUAGAAUUUUUUAACAUAAGAUAAAUUACUUAUAAAUUUUUAAGCGUAAAAAACUAAAAAAUCAAUAUAUAAUUCAUCUCUUAUUAAAAACAAAUUCAAAUUCAACUUUUGCAAGAGAGAUUCUUAUAAUAUACUAAACAUGUCAGAUAAUUUUUUUAAUUUUUUUUUGAAUGAUAUACAGGAGUUAAUUGAGAAGCAGGGAUACAAAAUUAUGAUAGAAAAUAUUUAAAGUACCAAAGUUUAUUAAAAAAAUGUAUAUAAAUUAAAUUCAUAAAUUAAAAAUAAAAUUUAAGAAAUUUAUAGAGAACAAAAUUAUAAUAAUUAAUCCAAAAUAUUAUACAGCGCGUUGUGUUGACUCGUUAGAUUUCCUUUUCAUUUAAGCUUGAAUUCGCGUGUAGUGAAAGUGAAAGCGACGUCUGAAUUAUGUGUAAGGAUAUUUGUGUUCUUCUCUCGUAGCCACAUGUUUUUUUCCUAACCGGAGAGCCACAUGUUCUUAGAAAUCAAUUCGUAUAUUUGUGGUAUUUCUUUAUUUGUAUUUAGAAUAUUAUUCUAUGCACUUGGAAUGGAUAGGAUUGGAUAGUACUAUGUAUGCGCAAUUUGCAAUGCAUUCCUGAUGGGAUAGUUUUAAAAAACAAUAUGGAAAAAAGUUCUCAUGAUUUAUAUAUUUUAUUUUCCCUAAACUACUGAUUUAUAUAGAUAACUGUGCAUUCCAGUUCCUACUAUCUUUUUACUUAAUUAUAAAUUUUUAGGCAAAAUAAAAAUUAAUUUUUGGACAUUUUAAAGUAAUUUUUUUUAUGGGGCAAGAUCCCCCAUUCAAUAUAUCUUUCAUGCUUACAAAUGAAGAUUUUAUGCGAUAACAGAAAUUAAACUCACAUUAUUACAUAGUAUAAGUCAACUUUUUCAGUAAUUAUACCCACUUUUAUUUUUAUUUUUAUAGAUAGAUAGAUGAAAUAGCAAACACAUAAUAAACUCACAUACAUAAAUGGAAAAAUCGGGAUUCACACCCUAUAUUAGACCAACCUUAAUUUGAAAAUGGAUUUACCGCAGUUUUAUAUGGUGCAGUAAUGGUGCAGUAAUAGUUGUUACUUGUUGCCUAUUUUAUUUUGUUGGAGAUGUAUAGUUGUUACCUUUAAGGAUAAGUAUUAGGUAAAUGUAUAUCAACUAGAGACUGGUCACCCAAGUUUACAUUUUGGAUUUCUUUACGGGUUAAUGCUACGGUGGACUACCUUUACAAGUGGUCCACCGUGGACAAGUGAUCUAUCGAAUAAUUUUUUUACGAAAUUCACUGUUUGAUUGAAAAGUUUAUAUCGUAUAGACCAUCCAUAAAUUUUUUGAAAAUAAUUUGAUAUGUUAUUGGGACCCAUCAAGAUUUACGUUAUUUAAUAAACUGUUAAUCUUGAUGUGUCUCAAUAAUAUAUCAAAUGAUUUUCAAUUUUUCUAAAUUUUUCUAUGGAUGAUCUAUAUGUUAUAAACUUUCAAUUCAACGGUGGAUUUUGUAAAAUUCGUAUUCGUUAUAAUGUUAUUCAUGACUGGUCCACCAUGGACCACUUGAUGAAGUGGUCCAUAUUAGAAUUUACCUUUUUUACAAUGUGAGACAACAAUAGGGAUGACAACGGGCGCCCAUGGGUGCGAGUUUGACACUUACCAAACCCCCACCCGAAAUCAUCACCCAAACCCAAAGGCUGUUCGGGUGGCAAAACAACACUCACGCCUACACCCAUUGGGUUCAGGUUUUUUUCACCCAAACCCGCAUCACAUUUGAAAAUAAUUUGCAAAUUUAAGAAAUUAAAUUCCAACAUAGACUUUGAAUUAAAUUACAACUAAAAUUAAGAUCUUCCAAGAAAAUUCAAACAUAGACUUUCAAGAAAUUACAACAUAGACUUUCAAGAAAUUAAAUUACAACUAAAAUUAAGGUCUUCCAAGAAAAUUGAGGGAGACUAUGGGGGUAAUUAGGUAAUUAUAAAAUAUUUCGAGUGGAUGUAUGGGUUUCGGGUGUGGGUUUGACUGAUACCAAACUCACACCCAUAUUAUCGGGUGUCACCCGAACCCAAACCCAAACCCAGUCAAAUCGGAUUUCGCCCAUUGACUUGAGUUUGAGUUCGGGUGGAUCUCUCAUGUUUGAGUUUUUUUGUAUCCCUAGACAACAACAAUACUAGCCCUAUACCCCACUACUUAUAUCAUUUGGCCAUACUAAGCACGAAAAUGACAUACUCAAGCAAAAAAACAUUAUAGACCCAUCCUAUGAUGGGUGGCAUUUAGCAUGGGUAAGAGCAUCCCAUCCACAAUGGAGCUCCCCAUUUUAUGGUAUCUAAUUGGACCCCACAUGUACACAUCACACAUUUAUUAUUUUUUAAUGAUAGUACCUAAUAAGAACUCAAUCGCUCUAACCAAACACCUCUUAAAAAAUUCUAAAUGGAUCCUACCAAUAACACAUUUAACCAAUAACUAUAUAUCUUUAUAAAUGGGUCCCACCAAAAUAAUAUAGGUACUAAUGCUUAUUUGAGAACUAGUACCUAUUAUGUACUCAUUUGUAUUUUGCUCCAAUGAGAAUACCUAUUAGGUACCAAUUCUUAAGAAAUAGGUACUCACCAUUAGAGAUGGUCUAAGUGCUAAAGUUUCCCACCAUGGGCAAAUUAACAUUUGACCAUUAGAUCAGAUGAAGAACGCAUUUUUAGUAUAGUCUCUCAAUACUAGAUCUCACCACUGCCUUUUGCAACCCAUCUCCUUCUUGGCCCCAUCAUCUAACCGGACUUCUCCCUCCACCCCCUAUCAACAGCUCCUAAGGUUACCUCCAGUCCUCCACCAUCGCAGAUUGAAGAAUCAAAGAAUGAAAAAUCAGACAAAUCUACUUCAUAUUUUCAUCAAAUUUUAUAAUAAUAAUUUCAUUCUCAAAGAUUGAAGAUUUAUAUGGAUGUUAUUCCAGAUUCUAACAAGUUGGAAUUUUUCCGUUUAAUAAUUAUAUAAGCUUAAUCUAAGUUGUAACAAUGGUUUUGAAAACUUUUGGUUCAAAUAUAAUGAUAACAUUUUGUUUGAAAUAUGAGUUUUUCACAAAUUUGGUAAUUUUGAGAUUGAUUUAGGAUGAAAAUAUGUAUUACUUUUCACUAUCUUGUUCGGAUUUAUUUUAUGGGUUAUGUCAUGUUGAUUUGGAUCAAUUUUUAAUUUAAUUAAUUUUUCUGGGUAUCUUUGUUGUGUUUUGCUUAUUUUGAGAUUGAGUUAUUCUUAUUCUUAUUUUAAUUUAUAUUUUUUUUGGGUUUCUUUCUUGUGUUUCUUGGUUUUAAGUUAUUGAGUUUAAUGUAGGAACAAUCACAUUGAAAGCUAUUGUGCAAGUGUUUUAGUAAUUGUGGAUUGUUAAUGUAGAAGCAUCCACAUUGGAAGCCAUGGAUAUUGCUGGCCAGUGUUGGAAGAGAGAGGAGAGAGAAAGAUAAGGCAAUGUGAUAUGAUAUACAAUAUGGUGGAGGGAGAAGGUGAGAUGGUGGGGCCAAGAAGAAAAUGGGUUACAAAGGGUAGUGGUGAAAUCUUGUGUUGAGAGACUAUAAUAAAAUUGUAUUCUUCAUUUGAUCUAAUGGUUAAAACUUAACUUAACUUGCUCAUGGUGGGAAAUUUUAGCACUUGACCAUGCUAAAUGUCACCCCUAUGAUGAUCAUUGGUACCAUAAAUGUGUUGAUGUUUUAAAUGUGAGUUAACAAAUUCACAUUGAAUGAAAAUUAAAAUAUUGAGCGACCUAUAAGUGAGAUUACUAAUAUCGUGACACAGUUACAGUUCUGAACCGUUUGAUCUUAAUGGACAGUUGAUAUUGAUUUACUGUGUGAAUGAUCUGAGUCGUCCAAUCUCUAAUCAAUAGCCGAGAUUUCUUACUGCGUGAAACAACGUGAUAAUAGGACAACAUGCAAUCCUGGCCCAUUAAAAAUUACCUAUCGAAGAAGUUCCACAUUGAUUAGUAUGGUGAAGAAAGGGGAGAACAAAACUAUAUAUUGGACCUAAGUUUUUUGUUUUUAGAUACACAAAUUAAU